This is a long non-coding RNA of Amblyraja radiata (thorny skate), 79 nucleotides long. RefSeq lists it as uncharacterized. The transcript has 3 exons. NCBI's taxonomy places the organism in Eukaryota, Metazoa, Chordata, Chondrichthyes, Rajiformes, Rajidae. The record is from RefSeq and is a predicted model, not a curated record.
CUCCUGCACCUAUUUUCUAUUGAUCAGCAUAUGGAUGGAGUAGGUGACAAAGGGUCGGGGUGGGAAGGAGACAAAAGGG